UUUUAAUGGGUCAAUUGCAUCAUCCUCACCUAUGAAUGACAGCACUGGAAAUGGUGACUCCAUGGGUAAAUACAUGGUUUUAUUUUUCCUUUUCUUUUCUUUUUUUUGAGAUGGUGUCUCUCUAUGUUGCCUAGCCUGGUCUCGAACUCCUGGGCUCAAGUGAUCCUCCUGCCUCAGCCUCCCAAAGUGCUAAGAUUACUGGUGUGAGCCACCAUGCCGGUCCAGCAAUCCAUGGUUCCAUAUAGGUGAAUAGGAAGACUUUCUUUCUUAUUAUUUAGAUAUCUUUGAAAGAUAAUCAGUAGUUUAAAGCAAAAUUAGCUCCAUACUAAAUAUUCAUACUAGCUAUUUUAAUUUUUAUAAUUAUACUAUUGAAGUGGAUACUCUUAUGCAGACUUUACAAAUGAACAAACUGAAGUUUAGAGAUUCUAAAUAUUCUAAAUAAAUAGGUCAUAUAGGCAUAUCAUUAUACUGUCUAUUGCUCAAUGCCCUUGACAGUGCACAGUUCCUUGGCUAAAAGUAUGUGGAAGCAGGGAAAAAUGAAUCCAGCAAUUACUAUAUUUAGCUGCUUUUACAAAUGCCUCUUGGUUAAAAAAAAAAAAAAAAAGACAUUCAUUGGUAGACAUUACCACAUUGCCAAGUCACUCAUAAAUCUAAGUACGAAAGUCAGUAAAAAAGGAUGAUGUUAUCUGAUUCACUGAAAGGGAAAUAAGCUGAGAUCUGCUGCGUUAGGACAAAGGCCAGCUGGGCUUUAUGAGAAUUCAGAUGGCAAGGAACAAGCUUUUUAUGGCAAUGACAGAGGGAGAAGGGAACAAUAUUAUAAGGAAGAAUCUUUGUGGUUCAAACAGAUUAUGUGGUUUAUUAUUUUCAUUUAGAUUAGGGAAAAAAUCAGUGGGCACAGAAUAAAUAGCAACUGCCUCUUUCCCCCUCCCCAGCAAGCAGAAUAUUGAUUUCCUCUUUGAGGAAAGGACACAUUAAAAAGAAUACUCUUGAGAUGAUAAAUAUGCUAAUUAAUGUGAUCUAAUCCCUAUACAUUAUGUAUAUGGAAACACCACUAUGUACCCCAUGAAUGUGUACAAUUAUUGUCAAUUUAAAAAUACAAUUUUAAAAACACUCAUUUUAUUUUUUUAAAUUAAUUGUUCUUAUUUUAAAAAUUAUUAUUUUUUAGGGAUGGGAUCUCACUGCAUUGCUCAGGCUGGUCUCAAACUCCUGGGCUCAAGCAAUCUUCCUGCCUUAGCUUCCCAAAGUUCUGGGAUUACAGGCAUGAGCCACCACUCCCAGCCAAAAAAAAAAAUACUCAUUUAAAGCUGCACAAGUUUGAUGGCACAAGUCUGUAUAACUGGACCUGUGCCUUUAUAAAACCUCAAACACUGCAAAGGUUCAUGAAACAAUGUAUAUCUAUUCUUCUUAUUCACUGUCAUCAAUGCUGACCAGGGAAAAUUGCACAGGUGCACGUGUGUGUGUGUGUGUGUAGGGCUAGUGAAGCAGGCAACUACCAGAGAUACAUUAUUAAAAAGCUAACAUUUAUUGGCCAGGCGCGGUGGCUUACGUCUGUAAUCCCAGCACUCUCACGGGUGGUGCCUCCCCGGCAAUGGGGGUCCCAAGAUCCAGGGGGGGAAAAGGGGAUGGCUCUCAGCCACCACAAAAUGGGGGGCCUUUAUGUUCAGGUUUUGCCCAAGAGUCAGCUUAUUUGCUUCUUGUACUAGCAGGGCAGUUGCUGCCAAGGCCUCAAACAGGGGAGCCAUCCUUCAGAAACCCUGUCUAGUUGUUCAGAGACGUAGGCCACCGGCCUCAGCCAGGGCCCCACAGUUUGGGUUAAAAGUCCAGCUGCCAUCUUUUCUCUCUCUAACGCAUACAAUGGAAAAGGCUUUGUCAGAUCGGGUAGCCCCAGGGCUGGGGCUGCCAGAAGUUUUUCCUUUAAGUCAUGAAAGACUUGCUGUUCUUGGAUCCCCAUUCCAAAGGUUCCGGUCCCCGCCCCCUUUGUGACCUCAUACAAAGGCUUGGCUAAUACUGCAAAGUUUGGGAUCCACAGUCUACAAAACCCCACAUCCCCUGAGAAUUCUCUCGCCUGCCUUAGGCACUUAGGCUCCGGGAGAUUGCAAAUAACCUGCUUUCUUUCUGUUCCCGGGCUGCGUUCGGACUCCUGUCAGAUAGUAAAUCCUAAGUGGCGUCGGACCCCUGUCAGAGAGUAAAUCUCAAGUAAGGUACCUGCCAUCGGCAGAUUUGAGCUUUCUUCUUGGACACCUAAUACCCACAGUCCUCCAGGCUCCGGUAGACUGCAAAUGACCUGCUUUCUUUCUGUUCCCGGGCUGCGUUUGGACCCCUGUCGGAUAGUAAAUCCCAAGCUCCGGUAGACUGCAAAUGACCUGCUUUCUUUCUGUUCCCGGGCUGCGUUUGGACCCCUGUCGGACAGUAAAUCCCAAGUAAGGUACCUGCCCUCGGCAGAUUUGAGCUUUCUUCUUGGACACCUAAUACCCACAGUCCUCCAGGAUAACUUCAGGAAGUGGGUAUUAAUUCUCACGGUAUAAGUGAAGACAUUAAGCACCAGAGUUUAAGUAGCUUGAUCCACUGAAAGAGAUUCAACUGUGUGGAACCUAUGCCGUGGAGAAUUGCUUUCUGCCAUUGUUAUCGUCCAGCAGUUGCCGAAUAGCUCUGACCUGAGCAAAGCAGUGAAACGCGGUGCUGUUGAGUGGGUUGCCACUGCACCUUUUUCAACUACUCUAGUCUUGUGGAGAAAAUACCCCUUCUAAAUUUUUUCUUCAUUGAAUACUCUCCCUCAGCUCCAGAGUACCAUAUAGAGUUUUCUUGUAUUUUAGAGUUACUGUUUUAUCAAAGUUUACCAGUCUUUUGUAUUACAUUUCUCCUGUCUAAAUCGACUGUGUGGUUUCUACUCAUUAUGGAUAUAGAUUGAUACAAACUCAAUAAAUAUUUUUGAAUGAAUAA
Molecule: long non-coding RNA, 2940 nt
Filed under: Homo sapiens (human)
Lineage: Eukaryota; Metazoa; Chordata; Mammalia; Primates; Hominidae
Description: HSALNT0373173
Source: RNAcentral